AUGACAGGAAAAAAAAAUUGUUCGGCCCAAAAUGUCACGGUUGUGUCUUUUUUUUGUAGUGUACCCUUGAGCAAGCACAAGAAAGGCAACGCUUGCGCCACCAAGAGGAAGAGCGAGCGCACCAACACCAAGACAAACAAGAUGUUGAGGCACAACAUCAAUGACAACAAUGGCAUGAAACUGAAGCACUUGAGGCGCAACAUGCCCUCCGAGACACAAGUUGCGCCGUCUCCGCACGCAAUCGACAUCCGCGUGAGAAAGAAGAAGCACUUCGCAAUGAAGUUCAAGAGAGGAACUAUCAAGCAUGAUUGCACCGUCAAGUUCCACGAGCUCCUCCACAAGCUAGACAAGCACAACAAGCCCGACAAGAACCACAAGUUCGCUAAGAGAAACAAGACAAUGGCAAUCCUCCACGCCAGGAGAAACUUGAGGUUGACAACCCUCCUCGUUAAGGGCGUCAUCACCCUCGACCCCAACACAAUGAAGAGCAACGCUAUCGCAAACUCAAGUUCAUCAUGCCCAAGUUUUCCAGAAGCAAUGAUCCCGAAGAGUAUCUUUCAUGGGCAUUGA
RNAcentral lists this ribosomal RNA (570 nucleotides) under Triticum aestivum (bread wheat). Its description in RNAcentral is "partial small subunit ribosomal RNA". Lineage: Eukaryota; Viridiplantae; Streptophyta; Magnoliopsida; Poales; Poaceae. The record is from RNAcentral.